UUGUGUAACCUUUUUAUUAAAUAAUGCAGAAGAGGAAGAGAAUGCUCGGAGGAGAUGGUUCGGGGGGGCGUUGUAGUGCUAGGUUCUGCACAAAGCCUCGGAAAUUAAUUAUGAUUUCUCAAAGAAAAGUCAGUGAUCUCAUUACAUCAACAAAGAAAAUUAAACUUGCUGCAAUUCAUUUAAGGAGUUAUCCUGAAUUUAGGAGGGAUUUGAGUGCUGCGUGUGAAAUCUUAGAGGGUGAGGCUCGCAUACGCAGCAUCCAAGAAAAGAUUCGAGUUGCUCUAUAUGUUCAGAAGGCUGCUUUGACAUUUAUUGGCGCUGCAAAUAAUACUGAAUAUCAUCUUUCUGAGGAUGCCAGAAAAGCUGGAUUUUAUAUUAGCUCUGAUGAAUUGGCAGUCAUCAAGAUUUAAUGCUCUUGGAAUAAUGUCGGGAGGUCGCAAUUGUAGGUUGUGCACUAAUAACUGGUUUAGGGGCUCUCAUUUUCAAUUUGCUGUAAGAAAAUUGCUAACAUCAUGCUGCCACUCUACUAUUGAGGCGAAACAGAAAAACGAAAAUAAAUCUUUGAUCCAAUUUAUGAGGAAUAAGGAAAUCAUUCCUGAUUCAAAACCUCCGGACAUGAAAGAUUUAAAUUUUCUAUAUCAAUUUUUUUGAUCGGAGUCAAAAGCUCAUGGUAUUAACUGAAGCAGGAUUAAGCACUGAAUCUGGAAUUCCUGAUUACAGGAGUUUGUCCGCUCCAGUCAUGCUCAUAGGCGAUACUGGGCAAGGAGUUAUGCUCGAUGGAGAAGGUUUAUUGCUGCACGACCUAGUGAAGGUCAUAUUGCACUAGCCACAUUGGAAAAAGUCAGUUGAGUCAAUUUCAUGGUCACCCAAAAUGUUGAUAGGUUGCAUCAUCACGCUGGCAGUGAACCUCAUGAGCUCCAUGGUACUGUUUGUACUGUACUGUGUUUAAAUUGCGGCACUUCUGUUGGCCGAAAUUAUUUUCAAGAUCAAGUAAAGGCCCUCAACCUAAAGAUGAGUUCAUAGCAUCAAAUCCUCAUGCAAAAAUCUUUGUGAUUCAUUGUGAGAUAAAUUUGAGCAUGCCUCGAUUUGAGCAACUCCUCUCGUGAAGGCACACUGGAGCACGGAUCGGAUGUCGACUAGCUUGGAGCAAACAAAGAGGGUGCGUCCGCAAUCGUCACGGUGGAGUCAAAGGCUCAUGGUAUUAACUGGAGCAGGACUAAGCACUGAAUCUGAAAUUCCCGACUACAGAGGGAGUUUGUUCGCUCCAGUCAUGCUCGCAGGCGAUGCUGGGCAAGGAGUUAUGCUGGAUGGAGAAGGUUUAUUGCUGCACAAACUAGUGAAGGUCAUAUUGCACUAGCCACAUUGGAAAACGUCAGUUGAGUCAUUUUCAUGGUCACCCAAAAUGUUGACAGGUUGCAUCAUCGCGCUGGCAGUGAACCUCUUGAGCUCCACGGUACUGUUUGUACUGUAUUGUGUUUAAAUUGCGGCACUUCUGUUGAUCAAAAUUAUUUUCAAUAUCAAGUAAAGGCCCUCAACCGAAAGAUGCGUCCGCAGCAUCGAAUCCUCAUGCAAAAAUCUUUGCGAUU
Molecule: long non-coding RNA, 1586 nt
Organism: Phalaenopsis equestris
Lineage: Eukaryota; Viridiplantae; Streptophyta; Magnoliopsida; Asparagales; Orchidaceae
Exons: 3
Source: RefSeq, a predicted model, not a curated record